This 481-nucleotide long non-coding RNA is filed under the name Gallus gallus (chicken). RNAcentral's name for it is "long non-coding RNA NONGGAT009154". Lineage: Eukaryota; Metazoa; Chordata; Aves; Galliformes; Phasianidae. The record is from RNAcentral.
UGAAAUCAGAGGUUUUCAGAGAGAUUCGUGCAUUGAUUCCUCAAUGGAGAAUACUGUGCCUGUGCCAUCUGUUAAGCAAAGUGCUGCACGUACAACGCAAUAUGCCCUGCAGCAUGCGACAGAGCCUUGCAGAUUAGAUGUGAAGAGAAGUGGCUGUAAGGGGAGAGAAAAGCCCAGGUGCUGGAGCUGCUACAGAGCGGUCCUGCAUCUCUUGGAUCUUUUGGUGUGUGAGCCAUCAAAUUUGGAUGCCUUUACAGUUUUGGGCUGGCAAGGUUUGGUUCUCAUCAAGUGAGUAAAAUGUCCCCCACAUUCAGAUUCCAGCCUGGAUUCUGCAGUGCCGCCUUAGCAGCCAGCAGCAGGAGUGAGCUGCACAACCUCCCAGCCACUGCCCUCAAGCAUUCCCAGCACUGAUAAAUAAAUGUACCUUACAAACUCUGGCAAAUUCAAAGGUGAAUUUUAAAAAAAGAAGCCUUUAGAAAUC